Molecule: long non-coding RNA, 356 nt
Filed under: Salvia miltiorrhiza (redroot sage)
Lineage: Eukaryota; Viridiplantae; Streptophyta; Magnoliopsida; Lamiales; Lamiaceae
Description: long non-coding RNA (SMIL_LNC009214)
Source: RNAcentral
GCCGCUCGAUUGACGGCGGUGGUAACUGAGAUGGAGAGGGAGUCGAGAGAGAGGGGUGAGAACGAGCGACGAUUUCGCCGGAGAUAGAAACUGGAAGGGGUGUCCCUCUUUCUUUCUGAGUAUUAUCAGAACUUGAUGUGGCUUGAUUUUGCAUGCAAUGUUGCCGGAGUUUGGAGAGUGGGAAGAGAAGAGAUGAAUUAGGGCGGCAAGUCGGACAAGCUGUGACGACAAAGUCUGUCGCUGCUCGAUUCGAGAAGAGGUGAAUUUGGCCGCGCACGCUUGCUAGGGAGAUGAGAUGGUGAGAGGAGGCAACGGCAAUUGCGAUUUGGGGCCUAAAGCUCUCAGGCGGCGUCGCG